This 429-nucleotide ribosomal RNA is filed under the name Actinomycetes bacterium. Its description in RNAcentral is "Actinobacteria bacterium partial 16S ribosomal RNA". It matches the Rfam family "Bacterial small subunit ribosomal RNA", at positions 355 to 776 of the family's 1533-position model. Lineage: Bacteria; Bacillati; Actinomycetota; Actinomycetes. The record is from RNAcentral.
UAGGGAAUCUUCCGCAAUGGGCGAAAGCCUGACGGAGCAACGCCGCGUGAGUGAUGAAGGUCUUCGGAUCGUAAAACUCUGUUAUUAGGGAAGAACAAAUGUGUAAGUAACUAUGCACGUCUUGACGGUACCUAAUCAGAAAGCCACGGCUAACUACGUGCCAGCAGCCGCGGUAAUACGUAGGUGGCAAGCGUUAUCCGGAAUUAUUGGGCGUAAAGCGCGCGUAGGCGGUUUUUUAAGUCUGAUGUGAAAGCCCACGGCUCAACCGUGGAGGGUCGUUGGAAACUGGAAAACUUGAGUGCAGAAGAGGAAAGUGGGAUUCCAUAUGUAGCGGUGUAAUACGCAGAGAUAUGGAGAAACACCAGUGGCGAAGGAGACUUUCUGGUCUUUAACUGACGCAGAUGUGCGAAAGCGUGAGGAUCAAGCAGG